UUAUUAAUUUUACUAUAUUUUUAUAAUUUCUUUUUUAUUAGUUUUUAAAUUAAUUGAUUAAAUUUUUGUUAAAUUGAAUUUUUAUUAAUUUAGAAUGAGUAAUUAGUACCUUUUGUAUUAGGGUAUUUUAAUUAACUAAAGUAUUAUUUUUCCCGAAAUUAGGUUUUCUAAUUUAAUUUAAUUUUAUUUGUUUUAAAAAAUUUAUUAAUAUUAUUUUUGUAAUUAAAAGUUAAUCGUAUCUAAUUUUAUAUCUGGUUACUUUAGAUUAAAUUUAAUUUUAAAUUAUUUAUUUUAUUAUUCUUUUUUUUUAAUUUUAUUUUAUAAGGGAUAAUCUUUAUAUUUUUAUAUAAUUAUAAAUCUCACAGUUUUUAAUUUCUUUUAAAUUUUGUAUUUAGUUUUUAAUAAAUUAACUCUAUUCUAUAUGAUUUUAUGUUGUUUGUAUUUUUAUAAGGUUUAUUUAAUCUUUAUUUUAUUAUUUUAAAUAAUGAUUUAAUUAGUAGGAUGUUAAAUUUAUUAAAAUUGAAUUCGACAAUUAUAAUUUUCAACUGUUUACCAAAAACAUUUUUUUUAGUUGAUUUUAAAAGUAAGUUCUGCCCUAUGAUAUAUUAAAUGGCUGCAGUAUUUUAACUGUACAAAGGUAGCAUAAUAAUUAGUCUUUUAAUUAAGGGCUUGUAUGAAUGAAUAAAUGAGAAAUUUAUUAUAAUGAAUUUUAUUAUUUAAAUUUAAUCUUUAGGUAAAAAAGCUUAAUUAUUUUUUUGGGACGAAAAGACCCUAAAGAACUAUUUUUAAUUUUAAUUAUCUAAUUUUUAUUUUAUUUUAUUUAAUUAAAUUAAAUUUUAUUGGGGUGAUUUAUAAAUUUAAACUUUAUUUAAUUUUUUCUUUAAUUUAAGAUCUAUUUAGAUUCAUAGUUAUGAUACAAGAUAAAGUUACCUUAGGGAUAACAGCGUAAUUUAAAUGGGGAGUUCAUAUUUAUAUUUAAGUUUGCGACCUCGAUGUUGAAUUAAGAUAAUUUUAAGGGGUAGAUUUUUUAUAUUUAAGUCUGUUCGACUUUUAAAUUCUUACAUGAUUUGAGUUCAAACCGGUGUGAGCCAGGUUGGUUUCUAUCUUUAUAAAUUUAAUUUAUUUUAGUACGAAAGGACCAAUUAAAUCAUUAUUAUUAAUGUUAAUUUUUAAAUCAAAUGA
Molecule: ribosomal RNA, 1182 nt
Filed under: Alnetoidia dujuanensis
Lineage: Eukaryota; Metazoa; Arthropoda; Insecta; Hemiptera; Cicadellidae
Description: 16S ribosomal RNA
Source: RNAcentral